ACCAAGCAGGGUAAUAGAAAAAAAGAGUACUUUAAUCGAAGUAUGCGAAUAUUUCCAUACCUUUUUUUCAUAAUGUCAUCGAAAAAUUACCAUUAAGGCUGCUAAUAGUAUUAUUGGUAUCGAAAUACUACACUAUUUGACGUGGUAAAACCUCUAUUACCCUGCUAGGUGCUUUGUUACAGAGAAAAUGAAAAU
This is a long non-coding RNA of Bradysia coprophila, 195 nucleotides long. NCBI's taxonomy places the organism in Eukaryota, Metazoa, Arthropoda, Insecta, Diptera, Sciaridae. The record is from RefSeq and is a predicted model, not a curated record.